CCUACGUGGAGCUGCAGUGGGGAAUAUUGGACAAUGGGCGAAAGCCUGAUCCAGCCAUGCCGCGUGUGUGAAGAAGGCCUUCGGGUUGUAAAGCACUUUCAGUGGGGAAGAAAGCCUUGGGGCUAAUACCCUCGAGGAAGGACAUCACCCACAGAAGAAGCACCGGCUAACUCCGUGCCAGCAGCCGCGGUAAUACGGAGGGUGCGAGCGUUAAUCGGAAUUACUGGGCGUAAAGCGCGCGUAGGCGGUCUGAUAAGCCGGUUGUGAAAGCCCCGGGCUCAACCUGGGAACGGCAUCCGGAACUGUCAGGCUAGAGUGCAGGAGAGGAAGGUAGAAUUCCCGGUGUAGCGGUGAAAUGCGUAGAGAUCGGGAGGAAUACCAGUGGCGAAGGCGGCCUUCUGGACUGACACUGACGCUGAGGUGCGAAAGCGUGGGUAGCAAACAGGAUUAGAUACCCUAGUAGUC
RNAcentral lists this ribosomal RNA (465 nucleotides) under Vreelandella stevensii. Its description in RNAcentral is "partial 16S ribosomal RNA". It matches the Rfam family "Bacterial small subunit ribosomal RNA", at positions 338 to 795 of the family's 1533-position model. The record is from RNAcentral. Lineage: Bacteria; Pseudomonadati; Pseudomonadota; Gammaproteobacteria; Oceanospirillales; Halomonadaceae.